GGCCGGGUGGCUUAGCUGGACAUAGCGCCGCACUCAUAGGGUAUCGAGAUUCGGUGCGGUACGCCUUGGAAGAUCCGCAGCGCCCACGGGGCCCGCCGAGCCUCGGACCUGGGUCAUGCGGAGAUCGCGGGUUCGGAGCCCGCCCCGGCCA
Molecule: transfer RNA, 151 nt
Filed under: Halolamina pelagica
Lineage: Archaea; Methanobacteriati; Methanobacteriota; Halobacteria; Halobacteriales; Haloferacaceae
Description: tRNA_Met_CAT
Source: RNAcentral